RNAcentral lists this long non-coding RNA (259 nucleotides) under Malus domestica (apple). RNAcentral's name for it is "long non-coding RNA (MDOM_LNC016744)". The record is from RNAcentral. Lineage: Eukaryota; Viridiplantae; Streptophyta; Magnoliopsida; Rosales; Rosaceae.
AAAAGGAACCUAAUGGAUCGUACACCGUGUAAGGUGGAGAUUGAAUAAACAAUGGAGAUGAGUAAGAAUAAUUAAAUGGUUUAAUUAUUUAUGGCAAGGAUUAAUUAAUAUGUUAAUUAAUUAAAAGAAUAAGUUCGUUAAAGACCUCGGGAUAGUUUUGGACCUUAAGGCCCAAUGGGCUUCGAACUUCAAGCCCAUUGACUUAAGUUGUAUGACAACUUAAUUCACAAAGGCCCAAAAAGCCCAAACAAAACCCUAU